AACAAUCGUUAGGAAGAGCGUCGCCCUCCACGCCUUCUGAGCAGCUCCAGUUUCGUAGCGCCCUCGUGUGUCUGGAGGAAGAAACGUCCUGGAUUUGAGUUUGACAGUGGUACUAGGGCACAGGGAGAAGGAAGUCGGGUCAGGCAUUGGAACUUUUUACAGGUGCCAGGAAUGAAUGUGAGAACUCAGGAUGCUUUCUUGAUGCCUUCUCAGAGGUGACUCAGUGGCGGCGCGUGAAAGGAUCCAGAAGUAACCACAAGCAGUUGAAAUCCAAGUCUUCUUCAAAAGUUGUUGAAGUCACUUCCAUGUCUGCAUGCCCACCAGCUAUGGUUGUGUAUAACCAUGUGAAUUAACUAUUGGAGAAUUAUCAUCUAUUUUGACUUUUGGAAACUAUUGAUACGGUCUAAGGGUUUUGGAAUGAUAUAGUCUAGGAGACUUGGUCAGGUUUGUUGUUUCUGCCAGCUGAAGAAUUAAAAGGCAGGAAAAAUCUGAAGACCAACAUGGAGCAGCAGAGAAAUCUUAAGCAUCGUGGGCAGAAUUAGGAGUAGAGGAAGGUGUGGGGUGACAAGCAGCUGGGGACAUCCUUCAUCCCUCAG
This 596-nucleotide long non-coding RNA is filed under the name Mus caroli (Ryukyu mouse). Its description in RNAcentral is "lncRNA (MGP_CAROLIEiJ_G0002886.1)". Lineage: Eukaryota; Metazoa; Chordata; Mammalia; Rodentia; Muridae. The record is from RNAcentral.